GAUGAACGCUGGCGGCGUGCCUAAUACAUGCAAGUCGAGCGAACAGAUAAGGAGCUUGCUCCUUUGACGUUAGCGGCGGACGGGUGAGUAACACGUGGGUAACCUACCUAUAAGACUGGAAUAACUCCGGGAAACCGGGGCUAAUGCCGGAUAACAUGUUGAACCGCAUGGUUCUACAGUGAAAGGCGGCUUUGCUGUCACUUAUAGAUGGACCCGCGCCGUAUUAGCUAGUUGGUGAGGUAACGGCUCACCAAGGCAACGAUACGUAGCCGACCUGAGAGGGUGAUCGGCCACACUGGAACUGAGACACGGUCCAGACUCCUACAGGAGGCAGCAGUAGGGAAUCUUCCGCAAUGGGCGAAAGCCUGACGGAGCAACGCCGCGUGAGUGAUGAAGGUCUUCGGAUCGUAAAACUCUGUUAUUAGGGAAGAACAAAUGCGUAAGUAACUGUGCGCGUCUUGACGGUACCUAAUCAGAAAGCCACGGCUAACUACGUG
This 497-nucleotide ribosomal RNA is filed under the name uncultured bacterium. RNAcentral describes it as "partial 16S ribosomal RNA". It matches the Rfam family "Bacterial small subunit ribosomal RNA", at positions 28 to 507 of the family's 1533-position model. The record is from RNAcentral.